Molecule: ribosomal RNA, 357 nt
Filed under: Boophis reticulatus
Lineage: Eukaryota; Metazoa; Chordata; Amphibia; Anura; Mantellidae
Description: partial 16S ribosomal RNA
Rfam family: Bacterial large subunit ribosomal RNA
Source: RNAcentral
CCCCCCUCCAAUCAGUGAAACUGAUCUCCCCGUGAAGAAGCGGGGAUAAGUAUAUUAGACGAGAAGACCCCAUGGAGCUUUAAACCCGACAGCACCCACUUAUUUAACACCUUCUUAUCCGCCUGGCCCCUGUCUGCUCGGUUUUGGGUUGGGGUGACCGCGGAGCAUAAAAUAGCCUCCACGAAAGAAGGGAUGAUUCCCUCAUUUUAGAACUACACUUCCAAAGACUAACAAAUUAAUUUUAAGUGAUCCGAUACCCGUAUUCGAUCAACGAACCAAGUUACCCUGGGGAUAACAGCGCAAUCUACCUCAAGAGCCCCUAUCGACAGGUGGGUUUACNACCUCGAUGUUGGAUCA